ACGAACGCUGGCGGCGUGCUUAACCCAUGCAAGUCGAACGGAAAGGCCCUGCUUGCAGGGUACUCGAGUGGCGAACGGGUGAGUAACACGUGGGUGAUCUGCCCUGCACUUCGGGAUAAGCUUGGGAAACUGGGUCUAAUACCGGAUAGGAGCCAUCUUUAGUGUGGUGGUUGGAAAGUUUUUUCGGUGUAGGAUGAGCUCGCGGCCUAUCAGCUUGUUGGUGGGGUAAUGGCCUACCAAGGCGGCGACGGGUAGCCGGCCUGAGAGGGUGUACGGCCACAUUGGGACUGAGAUACGGCCCAGACUCCUACGGGAGGCAGCAGUGGGGAAUAUUGCACAAUGGGCGCAAGCCUGAUGCAGCGACGCCGCGUGGGGGAUGAAGGCCUUCGGGUUGUAAACUCCUUUCGCUAGGGACGAAGCUUUUUUGUGACGGUACCUAGAUAAGAAGCACCGGCUAACUACGUG
RNAcentral lists this ribosomal RNA (465 nucleotides) under uncultured bacterium. Its description in RNAcentral is "partial 16S ribosomal RNA". It matches the Rfam family "Bacterial small subunit ribosomal RNA", at positions 29 to 507 of the family's 1533-position model. The record is from RNAcentral.